RNAcentral lists this long non-coding RNA (2947 nucleotides) under Pomacea canaliculata. Its description in RNAcentral is "uncharacterized LOC112574647". The record is from RNAcentral. Lineage: Eukaryota; Metazoa; Mollusca; Gastropoda; Architaenioglossa; Ampullariidae.
AGGAAAAAGGGAAACCUUUGGCAAUUGUUCUGCAGACCCGCUCUCUAUAUAUAUCUGGAUGUUGUAAACCUGCGGCACAAAAGCUCUUGCUGUCGAAAACCAUGUGACACACCCUGCAUUGUCCCCCCGCCAGAUGUUCGUGAUAAUCGUUGGGUUCUAAAUCCAGCGUCACACGGUGCGAAUGUAACUGAAGUUGCAUUAAACAGGCGAUAAAUAAAGUACACAAGUCUACCGACUGUUCGCAGGCAAAGUUGGAUUUUUUGCCAUUAAACUGUUACAGACAAAAAUUAUCACAAAAACUUCUCACCGUAAGUAAUUAAGGAGUGUUUCCGACAACUCGUUCAAAUGAAAGUCAUACAAUGUAAACCUGGCUUUAUGGGCCGGAUGCUCUCUCAGCCAGGCUUAAAGUGAUUAUGUUUUGUUAACUCCAUGCCAGAAACAGGAUAGAACUCGGAACAGAUUAGUUCUAAAGCGACAUAGCUUCGACGGUUUGCUUUUGCACAUGGCAGCAACCUUAAUGUGACCUGCAGACGAUUCAGUAAUAUAUUCUUUUUUUUCAGUCACAUUUUAUCCGUCAAACGAGUUCACAAGAGAUGACAGAAAGCGAUUUGUUCAGAAGCUGGUUGGAUUUCCCGAUGCCUUUGUGCCGGGCUGACAUCUGUGACAUCCUCUGAAGUAUAUCCUCGCCACGGUCGGGUGAGGUGUGUAAGAGAGACACACACAUUUGUUUUUACGACACCACAAUUAAUAUUGUGUGGUUUGUGUAUGAGAGAGAGAGAAAAAAAGAAAGAAGGAGAGAGAGAUUUACUGCUUCAUUUUCAAGAAAGUCUUGCUGACCGCAAAACGAAGGCUGCAGUGUCGUCAAUCACCGUCCUUGCUGGGGCACCUGCACUGUUUGGCCACAGGCAUCAAUCAGCAUGCUGGUAUUGUCACGACUGUUUAACGAGGAUCUAGAGAUUCGAAAACGCCACUGUCGUGCGCGCGCGUGAUCGAGAGACCUGCAUUCGGUCUUGUGUCAAGUGUGACAGCAGACGACCGCGAUAACAGCCAUGGCUGCACAUUCCAUGUAGAACAGCGAAUUAUUCCACGGGUGUGCCUUUGCGACUUAUUGUUACCUCGCGUCAUCAAGGUGGGCGCCACCGGUUACCUGCUGCGAGAUGUCGAGCCAAGUGGCGGAUGUCGAGGGCUCAUCGAGGGAACUGACGGACGUCAAUGAAGGACGAGAGAAGAGCUCUGGACCCAGUCCUGAAACAGAGUCAGGAAAAGGUACUGGUAAGACGAACACAAGCAACACCACUUGUGGCAAAUACUUCAAGCAAACACUGAUCUCGCACAGAUAAACUCAAAGAAAUAUUAUUUUAUAGAGGAUUUAGAUGAUAUUUUGCUCUGUGUGAAUAAGUAGGAUUUCACGAAGCUAGGGAUUGUGAAAUGACGACUUUUCAACACAAAUCUUCAGAUCAUGAAAUGCGAUCAAAAUCAUAUAGAUGACAAUAGUUAUUCGAGCCAUCUUUUUUUCACAGAUGCCACACAUUCAAAAGAGAAGAAAAACACAACUGUACGUGCUCAUAAUUAGAAAUAACGACAAUUUUAAACGAUAUAAGCUAUUACAAUUAUUUCAUUGGUUCUACCCGCCGCUAUCCCCUACCCGACCCACCACCACCAACAACAACAACAACAACAACAUCGCCACCACUCCAAGCUCACAAUCUGUACUUUAUAACUCUUGACAUAUCUGAGAAACUAUCACAAGUUGAUAUUGUGCAUGUGUGAAUAGUAAUAAUGUCCGGUUCGGUUUAUCCCGGGCCUGGUUCACUGAGCUCAUUACGUCAGCUCUGACUACCUACGUGAUUCAGCGUCUUUAUUGUAACAGCUUUCCUACUGUCUACCUUGUGUGUAACUUGUGAUACAUUGCACCAUGUUAACAUUUGAUGCCGAGUAAAAAUGCGAACUUUUUUUCAUAGUACAUAUACAUCCAUAUUCACAUCGAGAUGGAAGCAAAGUCCACCCGGCAUAUUAAUCACAAAAUACGGGUUGUUAUGUAGAAUGGAUUCUAGCAUUUAGAUGGAUGAACAUCUGGACGAGUUCUAGCUCUCGGUUGUCAUUUUUUUUAGUUGAGUUUAGAACUUGCAAGCGUCACACACACACAAACUCGCUCUCUCACCAAACGCCCACUCACUAGUUCACACUUUUGUUUAUUGUUUAUUCAUACACCCACUCACUCAAGCACACGCUCGCUUCUUGCAAAAAAAUUGUCAAGGAUUUCCGUUUGGCAUGAAUUGGUCACCGACUCUGACCGGCGUUAACUCUGCCGGUGAACAGUUUUUCGAGAAAAUUUGUGUAGCCAUGAAACUCACUGUCGUCGCAUUUCGAUGUGUGUCAGAGGGCAAAAGUCAACCUCACGAUAAUUUCCUUCCUCUGUUGAUGACCGAGGCAUUUUGUUUACGACCGGCGCGAACCCAGACAUUCUGUUUUUGCAGAGUUCAUGCAAAGGGUUCAUGCAAUAGCAGUGUAUCACAAUUUUGUUUUCUUUUAACUGUAUUGUGCGUGACUUCAUGUGGAAAGCGCGGAGUUUAUAGAGAUGACAGCAUGCAUAAAAUAUCUGGGUUUAUUGGAGACUGCACUCAAAACAAGGUCAAGAAAAAUUGCGACAUGAUUGUCCUCCAAAGAAGCCAGAAAUAACCAGGCAAUUAAAUCUGAAAUGUCCAUGUAAUAAACGAUGUAUAGUCAGUCUAGAAGACCUCUGGCCCUACCAAUGACGAAUCCAAGACACAUCUUGAGAAUGAAAAAGUGGGCAACUGCAUGGACCAGUUGUGACUCGACAGCUUUCGUCUCCCAAGAAAGGUUCUAGCCGAGGCGCCAUUUGAUGAUGUUGUGUAGGAUUCUGGUCCCUCGUUUCAAACCGACGCCACCCGUAAACUUUGCCAAUUAGGUUGGCGAGCUUGGUGUU